Molecule: unclassified non-coding RNA, 221 nt
Filed under: Hevea brasiliensis (rubber tree)
Lineage: Eukaryota; Viridiplantae; Streptophyta; Magnoliopsida; Malpighiales; Euphorbiaceae
Source: RNAcentral
UUUUGUCAGAAGCACAUAUAGAACACCAUGUCAGAAAAUAUUUUUCUUAAGUAGACCAAUGAAAUUAUCUUACUGCCUCAAAUGAAUAUAACAAGGCAACCAAACAUUUUUACUUUGGGGCUCAGAUCCUGCCAUCCUGGAUUGCAAAAUAUUCAUUAAUUCAAUUUCAUCCAUCAAAUCCCAAAGCCAAUCUAACCAUCAAGAUAAUACCCAUGUGAUUG